RNAcentral lists this ribosomal RNA (253 nucleotides) under uncultured bacterium. RNAcentral's name for it is "partial 16S ribosomal RNA". It matches the Rfam family "Bacterial small subunit ribosomal RNA", at positions 524 to 776 of the family's 1533-position model. The record is from RNAcentral.
UACGUAGGGUCCGAGCGUUGUCCGGAAUUAUUGGGCGUAAAGAGCUCGUAGGCGGUCUGUCGCGUCUGGUGUGAAAACUCGGGGCUUAACUCCGGGCCUGCAUCGGGUACGGGCAGACUAGAGUGCGGUAGGGGAGACUGGAAUUCCUGGUGUAGCGGUGAAAUGCGCAGAUAUCAGGAGGAACACCGGUGGCGAAGGCGGGUCUCUGGGCCGUAACUGACGCUGAGGAGCGAAAGCAUGGGGAGCGAACAGG